RNAcentral lists this transfer RNA (73 nucleotides) under Thermoplasmata archaeon. Its description in RNAcentral is "tRNA-Asn". It matches the Rfam family "tRNA". Rfam says of the family: Transfer RNA (tRNA) molecules are approximately 80 nucleotides in length. The record is from RNAcentral. Lineage: Archaea; Methanobacteriati; Thermoplasmatota; Thermoplasmata. RNAcentral also lists the same sequence under 1 other name.
GUGCCACAAGCUCAACUGGCAGAGCAUCGGGCCGUUAACCCGAGGGGUCAGGGUUCGAAUCCCUGGUGGCACG